AUUAAAAUAUAUUUAAUAUUUUUUUUAUUGUUAAUUUAUUAUAUAGAAAUAACUUUAUUUUUAGUAUUAUUUAAAGAAUUAAUAUUUUUUAUUUAUAAUUAAUUUUACUGUUAAGGUUUAUUAUAUAAUAUUAUGAAAGUAGAAUUUAUUUUUUGUACCUUUUGUAUCAGGGUUUAUUAAUUUAAUUCUAUUUAUUUUAGUUUUCCCGAAUUUAGAGGAGCUAUUUAUUAUUGUUAUUUAAUGUUUCAAAAUUAUUAAUAAAUUUUAAAUAGAUGUUAUAUGCUAUUCAUUUUUAAAUAUCUGGUUUCUUAAUAAUUGAAUUUAAUUCAGAAUUAUUAAAUCCCAAUGGAUCAAUUGAUUUUUAUUGUUAUUUAAUAAUUUAAUGUCUAGGGGGAUAAGCUCUUAAAUGUUUCUAUAAGUCAUAAUUAUUUAUAAUGUUUUGUAGGAUUAGAAAUUUCCAUCAUUUAUUUUGUUAUAAUUAUACUUUUUUUUAUUUUUAAUUUUAUGUGAUUUUGGAUUUUUAUUAAGAAUUUUUAUUUAAUUUUAUUUUAAUAGUUAUAAUGAUAGAAUUAGUAAAUUAUUAAUUUAUUAUAUAGUAACUCGGCAAAUUUAUUUUUCACCUGUUUAACAAAAACAUGUCUUAAUGAUUUCUUUAUUAAGUCUGGCCUGCUCAAUGAUUUAUUAUUAAAUAGCCGCGGUAUAUUGACUGUGCGAAGGUAGCAUAAUCAUUUGUCUUUUAAUUGGGGGCUUGUAUGAAUGGUCGGAUGAAAAAGUGUCUUUCUUUAUAAUAAAUAUUGAAUUUAAUUUCUUAGUUAAAAAGCUUAGAUAAUUAAAUGGGACGAGAAGACCCUAUAGAAUUUUAUUAUAUUAUAUUUAUUAAUUUAUUGGUUAUUUUUUAUUUUUAAGUUAAAUAUAAUUUUGUUGGGGCGACAUUGAGAUUUUUUUAACUCUCAUAAUUUACAGUUUAUAUAUUUAUAUAUUUAGGAUCCUUUAUUAUGGAUUUUUAGAUUAAAUUACCUUAGGGAUAACAGCGUAAUUUUUCUGGAGAGUUCUUAUCAAUAGAAAAGUUUGCGACCUCGAUGUUGGAUUAAAAUAAGAUUUAAGUGCAGAAGCUUAUUUUCUAGGUCUGUUCGACCUUUAAAUUUUUACAUGAUCUGAGUUCAGACCGGCGUGAGCCAGGUCGGUUUCUAUCUUUUUAUUUUUAUUGUGAGUUAGUACGAAAGGACCACUCACUUCAAAUAUUUUUGUUAUUUUUGUAUAUUUUUA
RNAcentral lists this ribosomal RNA (1266 nucleotides) under Dybowskyia reticulata. Its description in RNAcentral is "16S ribosomal RNA". The stretch from base 836 to 1193 matches the Rfam family "Archaeal large subunit ribosomal RNA", at positions 2154 to 2712 of the family's 2987-position model. Lineage: Eukaryota; Metazoa; Arthropoda; Insecta; Hemiptera; Pentatomidae. The record is from RNAcentral.